Molecule: ribosomal RNA, 240 nt
Filed under: uncultured bacterium
Lineage: Bacteria
Description: partial 16S ribosomal RNA
Rfam family: Bacterial small subunit ribosomal RNA
Source: RNAcentral
UGGCGAACGGGUGAGUAACGCGUGAGGAACCUGCCUCAAAGAGGGGGACAACAGUUGGAAACGACUGCUAAUACCGCAUAAGCCCACGGGUCGGCAUCGACCUGAGGGAAAAGGAGCAAUCCACUUUGAGAUGGCCUCGCGUCCGAUUAGCUAGUUGGUGAGGUAACGGCCCACCAAGGCGACGAUCGGUAGCCGGACUGAGAGGUUGAACGGCCACAUUGGGACUGAGACACGGCCCAG